UACGGAGGGUGCAAGCGUUGUCCGGAUUUAUUGGGUUUAAAGGGUGCGUAGGCGGCCUGUUAAGUCGAACGUGAAAUCCCCGGGCUCAACCCGGGAACUGCGUCCGAUACUGGCAGGCUUGAAUCCGGGAGAGGGAUGUGGAAUUCCAGGUGUAGCGGUGAAAUGCGUAGAUAUCAGGAGGAACACCAAUAGCGAAGGCAGCUCGCUGGGACGGUACUGACGCUAAGGCGCGAAAGCGUGGGGAGCAAACAGG
RNAcentral lists this ribosomal RNA (253 nucleotides) under uncultured bacterium. RNAcentral describes it as "partial 16S ribosomal RNA". It matches the Rfam family "Bacterial small subunit ribosomal RNA", at positions 524 to 776 of the family's 1533-position model. The record is from RNAcentral.